RNAcentral lists this ribosomal RNA (433 nucleotides) under uncultured bacterium. RNAcentral describes it as "partial 16S ribosomal RNA". It matches the Rfam family "Bacterial small subunit ribosomal RNA", at positions 29 to 507 of the family's 1533-position model. The record is from RNAcentral.
AACGAACGCUGGCGGCAGGCCUAACACAUGCAAGUCGAGCGCGCCCUUCGGGGUGAGCGGCGGACGGGUGGGUAACGCGUGGGAACGUGCCCUUUUCUACGGAAUAGCCUCGGGAAACUGAGAGUAAUACCGUAUACGCCCUUUGGGGGAAAGAUUUAUCGGAAAAGGAUCGGCCCGCGUUGGAUUAGGUAGUUGGUGGGGUAAUGGCCUACCAAGCCGACGAUCCAUAGCUGGUUUGAGAGGAUGAUCAGCCACACUGGGACUGAGACACGGCCCAGACUCCUACGGGAGGCAGCAGUGGGGAAUCUUAGACAAUGGGGGCAACCCUGAUCGAGCCAUGCCGCGUGAGUGAUGAAGGCCUUAGGGUUGUAAAGCUCUUUCAGCUGGGAAGAUAAUGACGGUACCAGCAGAAGAAGCCCCGGCUAACUCCGUG